GCAUAUCAAUAAGCGGAGGAAAAGAAACCAACAGGGAUUACCUUAGUAACGGCGAAGUGAAGCGGUAAGAAGCUCAAAUUUGAAAUCUGGCACUUUCAGUGUCCGAGUUGUAAUUUGAAGAAGGUAACUUUGGGAUUGGCUCUUGUCUAUGUUCCUUGGAACAGGACGUCACAGAGGGUGAGAAUCCCGUGCGAUGAGAUGCCCAAUCCUAUGUAAAGUGCUUUCGAAGAGUCGAGUUGUUUGGGAAUGCAGCUCUAAGUGGGUGGUAAAUUCCAUCUAAAGCUAAAUAUUGGCGAGAGACCGAUAGCGAACAAGUACAGUGAUGGAAAGAUGAAAAGAACUUUGAAAAGAGAGUGAAAAAGUACGUGAAAUUGUUGAAAGGGAAGGGCUUGAGAUCAGACUUGGUGUUUUGUGUACACUUUCCUUCUUGGAUUGUGCUUUCGCAUUACUACCGGGCCAGCAUCGGUUUGGGUGGUAGGAUAAUGACAUUGGAACGUGGCUCUACUUCGGUAGAGUGUUAUAGCCUUUGUUGAUGCUGCCUACCUAGACCGAGGACUGCGUCUUUUGACUAGGAUGCUGGCGUAAUGAUCUUAAGCCGCCCGUCUUGAAACACGGACCAAGGAGUCUAACGUCUAUGCGAGUGUUUGGGUGUAAAACCCGUACGCGUAAUGAAAGUGAACGAAGGUGAGGGCUCCUUUUGGAGUGCAUCAUCGACCGAUCCUGAUGUCUUCGGAUGGAUUUGAGUAUGAGCAUAGCUGUUGGGACCCGAAAGAUGGUGAACUAUGCCUGAAUAGGGUGAAGCCAGAGGAAACUCUGGUGGAGGCUCGUAGCGGUUCUGACGUGCAAAUCGAUCGUCGAAUUUGGGGUAUAGGGGCGAAAGACUAAUCGAACCAUCUAGUAGCUGGUUCCUGCCGA
RNAcentral lists this ribosomal RNA (915 nucleotides) under Cephaloascus fragrans. RNAcentral's name for it is "LSU rRNA". It matches the Rfam family "Eukaryotic large subunit ribosomal RNA", at positions 38 to 964 of the family's 3401-position model. Lineage: Eukaryota; Fungi; Ascomycota; Pichiomycetes; Serinales; Cephaloascaceae. The record is from RNAcentral.